RNAcentral lists this ribosomal RNA (523 nucleotides) under Yamadazyma membranifaciens. RNAcentral's name for it is "LSU rRNA". It matches the Rfam family "Eukaryotic large subunit ribosomal RNA", at positions 62 to 568 of the family's 3401-position model. Lineage: Eukaryota; Fungi; Ascomycota; Pichiomycetes; Serinales; Debaryomycetaceae. The record is from RNAcentral.
AAACCAACAGGGAUUGCCUUAGUAGCGGCGAGUGAAGCGGCAAUAGCUCAAAUUUGAAAUCUGGCACCUUCGGUGUCCGAGUUGUAAUUUGAAGAAGGUAUCUUUGGUUUUGGCUCUUGUCUAUGUUCCUUGGAACAGGACGUCACAGAGGGUGAGAAUCCCGUGCGAUGAGAUGCCCAAUUCCAUGUAAAGUUCCUUCGACGAGUCGAGUUGUUUGGGAAUGCAGCUCUAAGUGGGUGGUAAAUUCCAUCUAAAGCUAAAUAUUGGCGAGAGACCGAUAGCGAACAAGUACUGUGAAGGAAAGAUGAAAAGAACUUUGAAAAGAGAGUGAAAAAGUACGUGAAAUUGUUGAAAGGGAAGGGCUUGAGAUUAGACUUGGAAUUUUCCAUUUAUGGAGCUUUCCGGGCCAGCAUCAGUUUGGAUGGCAGGAUAAUUGCGUUGGAAAGUAGCACCACUUCGGUGGUGUGUUAUAGACUUCGUCGAUACUGCCUAUCUAGACUGAGGACCGCGUCUUUGACUAAGG